Molecule: long non-coding RNA, 2078 nt
Filed under: Salmo salar (Atlantic salmon)
Lineage: Eukaryota; Metazoa; Chordata; Actinopteri; Salmoniformes; Salmonidae
Description: lncRNA (ENSSSAG00000106323.1)
Source: RNAcentral
ACCUAAAGAGGUUUCCCUGGAAAAUGCUUUUUAGUCCAGAAUUGGGCUUAAUCUGUGUCUGGUAAACUGUCCCCUAAAGACCUUGUCGAUAGGUUAGGACCUCUAGGUGUGAAAGCUAAGGUAUGUGUUAGACACAAGGCUGAAGGGAACCAGGUUCCUUUGUCUGUGUCACACCCUGAUCUGUUUCACCUGUCUUUGUGCUUGUCCUGUCAAGUGCUACCAGUGUGUUCACGUGCUUCCUGUGCUCUAGUUUUUGUUUUUCUUAUUCUUCCCGGUUCUGACCUUUCUGCCUGUCCUGACCCUGAUCCUGCCUGCCGUCCUGUGCCUGCCUGACUCUGAUUUGGAUUACAACCCUUUGUCUGUCUUGACUUAACUUUUCCCUGCCCCUGAACUAAUAAACUCUGAGACUCGUACUAUCUGCCUCCUGUGUCUGCAUCUGGGUCUUAGCCUGAGCCGUGAUAGUAUGAACUGGCCAUGACUGACCCAGCAGACUCAGACCAGCUCCACAACGCUGUCUCCCAGCAAGGAGCCACCAUUGGAAGACACAAGGAGUUACUGCAAUGCCUUAUGGAGGGACUCCAUACCCUGGCAGAACGUCAUGACCAUGCGUUCGAUACAUUGCUGGAGCAAUUCCGCAGAUUCCCUGCUAGGCAGCAAGCCACACCAGUAAUCCACCGGACUCUCAGCAACCCGCCACCAGCGGCGUACUUCCCAGCCUACCCCACGGCGGUGUAGGAGCAACAGUCUGCCUUUUGCCUUAGUCUGGAGGAGUUUGUGGCGGAGGUACGUAAGGUGUUCGAUUCUCCGUUGUCCGAGAGAGAGGUUGAGGAUUUUUGCACGUUGGCGGCUGAGAGUGCCUGGAACCCAGAAGCCUUGUUCGACAUGUUCUCUCAUGGAUCAUCGGAGGUGAUUUAAAGAUGAGCUCGCAGCCCAUGGACCUCGACUCCUUCAUAGCCUUAACCAUCCGGAUCGAUGGGCGGCUAGGCUACAGGAACAUAGCAGUGAGAGGGAAUCUGUUCCCUGUCGCCCUCGCUCAUCCUCGAUUCCCACCUCGCCUCAGAGGAAUCUCGGGAAUCCCCGAAGUCUACAUUUCCUAGUGAAUCCGAUGUCAACCAAGUUCUCUUGGGAAUCACCGAGGCCUGCCGACUCACCUCCUCCGGAGCCUAUGCAACUGGGCAGGGCUAGAUUGUCUCCUGCUGAGCACUUACGCAGACUAAACACCAAGAGCUGCCUGUAUUGUGCAGCUAUGGGACAUUUCUUAUCUACCUUCCCAUUAAAAUACCAGGCUCGUCAGUAGGUACAAGUACACUGGUGAGCCAUACAGGGAAUUUCCAAUCCCUUACUAGUCAUAACACCCUCUAUGCUACCCUGUUGUGGGGAGGCCAGUCCAAAUCCAUCCAGGUGCUCAUUGACUCUGGGGCCGACGAGAGCAUUAUGGACACUACCCUGGCAUCCCUUUCCAUUCCGAUGGACGUCAGAGCGCUGGAUGGGUGCUCGAUUGGAAGUGUCAACCACAGUAUGGUUCCUAUCCACCUGUGAGUGUCAGGCAACCACAGUGAAUCCAUGCAGUUUCUUCUCCUGGAGUCUCCUCAUUUACCCAUGAUUUUGGGAUUUUCAUGGCCCCAGAGGUACAAUCCCCUUAUCAACUGGGCUACGGGGUCCAUCAUGGGUUGGAGCCCAUUUUGUUAAGCUCAUUGUCUGAAGUUGAUUGAGCCUGCCCCGGGACGUCUCCCUACCGGCUUGGGAAAAACUUCGUGUCUCUCCGCCGUUCCCGCGAAGUACCAGGACAUACGGGAGGUUUUCAACUCUGCCCGAGCCACAUCUCUUCCGCCGUAUCAGCCCUACGACAGUGCUAUCAACCUUCUUCUGGGUACUGCACCGCCUCAGGGGCGACUUCAUUCCCUAUCGGGUCCGGAGACCAAAGUGAUGGAAGGCCCACCCCUCUCCCCCCCAUAUCAUCGACGGCCAACCAGCGUACAUUGUAAGGCGCCUCCUGAAGGUUUGACCGUGGGGCAGGGGUUUCCAGUACCUGGUUGACUGACCUUUUGCCUGCCCCUUUAACUAAUAAACUCUGAGAC